RNAcentral lists this microRNA precursor (124 nucleotides) under Marmota monax (woodchuck). The record is from RNAcentral. Lineage: Eukaryota; Metazoa; Chordata; Mammalia; Rodentia; Sciuridae.
UAUAUACAUAGAUGUAUCCAUAAAUCUCUUAAAGAGACUGUAUAUAUAUAUAUAUAUAUAUAUAUAUAUAUAUAUAUAUAUAUACAGUCUCUUUAAGAGAUUUAUGGAUACAUCUAUGUAUAUA